This 318-nucleotide ribosomal RNA is filed under the name Bacillus sp. mrc49. RNAcentral's name for it is "bacterial LSU rRNA". It matches the Rfam family "Bacterial large subunit ribosomal RNA", at positions 2379 to 2696 of the family's 2925-position model. The record is from RNAcentral. Lineage: Bacteria; Bacillati; Bacillota; Bacilli; Caryophanales; Bacillaceae.
GACCUACAAGUCGAGCAGGGACGAAAGUCGGGCUUAGUGAUCCGGUGGUUCCGCAUGGAAGGGCCAUCGCUCAACGGAUAAAAGCUACCCCGGGGAUAACAGGCUUAUCUCCCCCAAGAGUCCACAGCGACGGGGAGGUUUGGCACCUCGAUGUCGGCUCAUCGCAUCCUGGGGCUGUAGUCGGUCCCAAGGGUUGGGCUGUUCGCCCAUUAAAGCGGUACGCGAGCUGGGUUCAGAACGUCGUGAGACAGUUCGGUCCCUAUCCGUCGCGGGCGCAGGAAAUUUGAGAGGAGCUGUCCUUAGUACGAGAGGACCGGG